This 182-nucleotide non-coding RNA is filed under the name Gammaproteobacteria bacterium HGW-Gammaproteobacteria-1. RNAcentral's name for it is "6S RNA". It matches the Rfam family "6S / SsrS RNA". Rfam says of the family: E. coli 6S RNA was the first non coding RNA to be sequenced, but its function was unknown until recently. It consists of 184 nucleotides that fold into an extended hairpin structure with a large single-stranded internal bulge. The record is from RNAcentral. Lineage: Bacteria; Pseudomonadati; Pseudomonadota; Gammaproteobacteria.
UGCCCCCUGCAGGGUUCGUUAGUCGCUGGGGAUUUCUUGAGCCGAUAAUCACACCCCCGGGGUUGCUGCGACGGUGUUGUGUGCAUGUCCGUGCUGCGGAAAGCCUGAUGCAUCGACCGGCCUCCCCACUUGAGCCAAUGGGUUCAAGGAGCAACAGCGACGACGGCCCAGGCGGAGGGCAC